Molecule: ribosomal RNA, 135 nt
Filed under: uncultured bacterium
Lineage: Bacteria
Description: partial 16S ribosomal RNA
Rfam family: Bacterial small subunit ribosomal RNA
Source: RNAcentral
UGAGGAAUAUUGGACAAUGGGCGCAAGCCUGAUCCAGCCAUGCCGCGUGAGUGAUGAAGGCCCUAGGGUUGUAAAGCUCUUUCGCCAGGGACGAUAAUGACGGUACCUGGAUAAGAAGCCCCGGCCAACUUCGUG